CGCGGUAUUUUGACCGUGCGAAGGUAGCAUAAUCAGUAGUCUUUUAAUUGAAGGCUUGAAUGAAUGGUUGUAUGAAAGAUAAGCUGUCUUUCAAGUAUAUAUUAGAAUUUAACUUUUAAGUGAAAAGGCUUAAAUUAUUUAGGGGGACGAUAAGACCCUAUAAAACUUUACAUAAGUUACAUUUAGUUUGUGAAUAAAGUAAAAAAUUGUUUUAGGUAUCUUAUGUUUCGUUGGGGAGACGUUUAUAUAACUGUAACUGUCAGAUAAAUUUAAUAAUCUUAAUUAGUAUAUGAUCCUUCCAUGGGGAUUAUAAGAGUAAGUUACUUUAGGGAUAACAGCGUGAUUUUCUUUGAGAGUUCUUAUCGACAAGAAUUAGUUGCGACCUCGAUGUUGAAUUAA
This 399-nucleotide ribosomal RNA is filed under the name Palaemon concinnus. RNAcentral's name for it is "partial 16S ribosomal RNA". It matches the Rfam family "Bacterial large subunit ribosomal RNA", at positions 1932 to 2540 of the family's 2925-position model. The record is from RNAcentral. Lineage: Eukaryota; Metazoa; Arthropoda; Malacostraca; Decapoda; Palaemonidae.